This 255-nucleotide ribosomal RNA is filed under the name uncultured bacterium. RNAcentral describes it as "partial 16S ribosomal RNA". It matches the Rfam family "Bacterial small subunit ribosomal RNA", at positions 524 to 776 of the family's 1533-position model. The record is from RNAcentral.
UACGUAGGGUGCAAGCGUUUGUCCGGAAUUAUUGGGCGUAAAGAGCUCGUAGGCGGUUUGUCGCGUCUGCUGUGAAAACCCGAGGCUCAACCUCGGGCCUGCAGUGGGUACGGGCAGACUAGAGUGCGGUAGGGGGAGAUUGGAAUUCCUGGUGUAGCGGUGAAAUGCGCAGAUAUCAGGAGGAACACCGGUGGCGAAGGCGGGUCUCUGGGCCGAUACUGACGCUGAGGAGCGAAAGCGUGGGGAGCGAACAGG